Molecule: RNA transcript, 4723 nt
Organism: Lynx canadensis (Canada lynx)
Lineage: Eukaryota; Metazoa; Chordata; Mammalia; Carnivora; Felidae
Gene: RFWD3
Gene name: ring finger and WD repeat domain 3
Exons: 13
Source: RefSeq, a predicted model, not a curated record
GGGCGGGCAGCUUGAGCUGCUCAGGAAGUAGCUGCUGCCCCCGAAGUGUGCGAGUUCUCCCGAAGAAACGGCCGCCACCGCAGCGAUUUUGCAAGCCCUGCAGUGUACCCCCUGGCCUUAGUGAUGGCUCAUGAAGAAAUGGAGUAUAGUCUUGAGAUGCAGUUAGAGCAUCUUGCUGCAGAACAGCCCGCCCCUGCCGAAGUGGCCGGCAGCCAGGAGGGACCGUCCCCGCUCCGGCCUCUACCUGCCGAAGUGGCCGGCAACCACGGGGGGCCGCCCCCGCUCCAGCCUGCUCCGCGGGUGUCUGCUGACCCGACGGAGGAAGUGGAGCGGUUGGGAGAAGAUGGUGCGGAGGACGUUCAUCCGGGAGCUUCGGCGGAGCGCGGGCAGGGACCUGGUGUUAACCGCCCCGUGCAAGUGUCGUCACUGGAGUCGAUGAACAGCUUCCUCAGCGGGCUGCAGAGGCUUCACGGCAUGCUGGAGUUCCUGAGGCCCCCUUCAGACAACAGCGUGGGGCCAGUGAGGGCCAGGAGGACGAGGGGGUCUGCCUCCCGCAGGUCAAGACCCGGAGCGUCUCAGAGGACUGACCGUGCCAGGUCCAGAGCACCAUUGGAUGCUUACUUUCAAGUGAGCCGGACCCAGCCUCAGUUGCCAACCACGUCUCAUGGUUCAGAGACCAGGAAUCCUGUCUCUGAGGACUUGCAGGUCUCCAGUAGUUCUGAUUCCGACAGCUCCACAGAGUAUGAGGAGGUUGUUGUCCAGGGAGAGGAACCUAGAGCCGUUGUUAUAGAAGACCAAGUUGGAGGUAUCUCAGCAGAACAAGAAGUUACAAGUAUCCGUGAAGGAGAGACCCUUCCCAAACAGUCUCCCCAGAAGACCAGUCCUCUUCCAUCUUCUGUUCCUAUGGAUGAUGAAGAAGGGGACACUUGCACGAUAUGUUUGGAACUUUGGACCAAUGCUGGGGAUCACCGACUCUCAGCGUUACGCUGUGGGCACCUCUUUGGGUAUAAGUGCAUUUCUAAGUGGCUCAAGGGACAGACACGAAAAUGUCCUCAGUGCAACAAGAAAGCCAAGCACAGUGACAUCGUGGUUCUUUAUGCCCGAACCCUGAGAGCUCUGGACACUAGUGAACAUGAGCAAAUGAAAAGUUCCUUACUAAAGGAGCAGGUGCUAAGGAAGCAGGCCGAGUUAGAAUCGGCACAGUGCCGGCUCCAACUUCAAGUCCUCACUGAUGAGUGCGCUAAGCUUCAUAGUCGUGUCCAGGAUUUGCAAAAACUUCUUGUGCAGCAUCGGGAUCAGAUUUCACAGCAACCCGGGGGCUCCCAGGCACGUUUCCUGAGCUGCCUGCCCUCCACCCAGGGCCAGCACAAGUACCGUUUCCAGAAGACCUUCACGGUGUCUCAGACAGGAAACUGCCGAAUCAUGACAUACUGUGACACUCUGAGCUGCCUGGUGGUGUCACAGCCUUCUCCUCAGUCCUCCUUCCUGCCAGGCUUUGGUGUUAAGAUGUUGAGUACUGCCAACAUGCAAAGCAGUCAGUACAUUCCCAUGCAUAGCAAACAGAUCCGUGGACUGGCUUUCAGCAGUCAGCCCAAAGGCCUACUGCUCUCUGCUUCCCUAGACAGCACUAUUAAACUGACCAGCCUGGAGACAAAUACAGUGGUCCAGACUUACAACGCUGGACGUCCUGUCUGGAGCUGCUGCUGGUGUCUUGAUGAAAGUAAUCACAUCUAUGCUGGACUGGUCAAUGGUUCAAUUCUGGUGUAUGACCUUCGAAACACGAGCUGUCACAUCCAGGAGUUAGUACCCCAGAAAGCCAGAUGCCCCCUGGUAUCCCUGUCAUACAUACCCAGAGCUGCCUCGGCUGCAUUUCCUUAUGGUGGUGUGUUGGCUGGAACCUUAGAGAACGCUUCCUUCUGGGAGCUAAAGAUGGGCUUUUCUCAUUGUCCUCAUGUGCUGCCCAUAGAGCCAGGGGGUUGCGUAGACUUUCAGACGGAGAGCAGCACCCGGCAUUGUCUUGUGACCUACAGGCCUGCUACUCUUGAUGAUCUAAUAAACUGUGGCUCUUCCACUCAGUAGUUUGUAAUCGUGUGAGGUUCAGGAUCUUCAUUAAUUUCCUGGGAUCAUCCCCACGGAGCAACACUGACUCCUCUGUCCCGUAGAUAAAAAUCACAGCACUUUACGAAGUGUGCUGAUGGAGAUGUCCUCCACGCUGGACGAUGCUGGAGAGCUGGUCUGUUCCUGCCAUCCUGUGCAAACAUUCCUUGGGGGACCCACUUGCAAACUACUGACCAAAAGUGCCAUUUUCCAAAACCCGGAGAGUGAUGGCAGCAUCCUGGUGUGUACUGGGGAUGAAGCAUCAAAUUCUGCCCUGCUGUGGGAUGCUGGCAGUGGCUCGUUGCUACAGGAACUGCAGGCCGAUCAGCCCGUCUUGGACAUCUGCCCUUUUGAGGUGAACCACAACAGCUACUUGGCUACCUUAACAGAGAAGAUGGUCCACAUGUAUCGGUGGGAGUGACUGUCUGGAACUUGUCAGGCAUGCUGCUGGUGAAUGUUAAAUGUUUGCUAGCACGUAACAGCCCUGAGCAAGAUCUCUGCUUACUGUCUGUGGCCUAGAACUUCUGGGAUCAUGGUUCCUUUGAAUUAAUGUGAUUCUAAGAGGCCAGGUCACUGAAACACUACAGACUGUGUAUUCGCGGUGUCCAUCCAAAGAAUACGUGAUUGGUACUGCAUCUACGUUAUCAUUGUCUUGGGCUCAAAGCCUUCAUGAAUAUGUUGAGAAUCUGUAUUUCUGAUCAGACAUUCUACUGGACCUCAGAGAGUAUCCUCCCAGCAGUCAUUUAGAACGAGUGUGCAGCAAGCAUUUUCUGUAGGGUGUGACACCCACCUAAGUGGUCUUGUCACUCGAACUCAGGAACGGAUGCUAACGUCCCAGAGGAGACUGACCAUCUCCAUGUUGCGUGGAUGCAGAAGAGUCUUCAGUUGAACACAAGAGGGCACUGUACGACCUGGUGAAGAAUUUGAUCCGUUUCUGACCUGGCGUGUUGACAGCCUUUCAGCAACUUGGUCUCAUCCCCACAGAAGUGUGAGGUCGAGCGCAUCUGGUCUACUUUGUGGCAGCAACAGAUACAUUCCAGGUGUGCGCUGCUGGGAUAUUGGCAGGCCCAGUGAUGGAGGCAGCUGAUGCGCUGUGGACCCUCUCGGAAUGCUGAGUACAUUAGGUUCAUCACAUCGUGGGAGCCGAGAGAAGAGACCGGUUGUUGGAGUAGUGGGGAAGCCUCCUUUUUUCUUGCUGUCUGAGGACCUCCGGAUUGAUUUUACAUAAACCAGUGCUCUGAAGACCCCUCCUUUUCCCUCUUACUAGGAAAACAUGAGCAACACGUCACAGCUCUUGUUUGAUUCUCUCCCCGUAAAAGAGGUCAAGGGAGAGGGGCUAAGCAAGACAGGCUUGCAGAAGAGAAGCUGCUGAGACCACUGCUGGGAACAGAAGCUAAAGCCUUCCACAUGUGAAACUGGUGUGUGACUUCAGCUUCCUCUGAUAUGCCUCCCUUCUAGCCUUUUUAAAGACUCUUGUCAGUGAAAUAUUCUCAGGAAGAUAAGAGUGGUUGGAGACCUGUGCGGAUUGCAGGGAGAAGCCCAUCAGCUUUUGUUCCAGCCGUGGAUUGUCCAACAUUGCGAACUUCACUUUUCUCCAGUAGGGGGAAAGGCUUCCGUUUGUAUCUGUUUGCCUCGCCUAUGGCUGCUCUGCUAAACCGCAGUCUACAACAGAACGCGCCUCAGGGUGUGGGCGGUCAGUGCCCCGUUCUUGGAAGCAGGAUGGCCAACAGUGUGACUUGUUUAAAUAAUUGCUCUAGAAGCGUUAUCAUUUUUAUUUUAAAAUAGUUCUGACCGACAACUCCUGAGCGGUUUCCAGCAUUUCUCACCAGCAGAGGGUUAUUGCCACAGAUAUCCCCAGAGUUUCAGGUUCCUGUUGUGCCUUCUAAAGAGUGGCCUCCUUCUGUUUUAGGACAUCUUUCAAAAAGCCAGUUUCCAGAGCCGGGGAAAGAGCCCCCUUUUCUCAGAGGAGAUACUCCUGUCAAUAUGUUGAUGAUUCAGAAUGACGGCCCAGACCUAGAGAGCAUCAGUGGCAGAAAGGGAUUUGGAUUAAAAAGCAGGACUCAUCUGGUUUCAGCAGGUCAUCAGAGAGGAUGCAGUUGGCCCUGGCUGCCUUUGUCUUUGGCAGAGACAAAUCCCACGGUAGGGUUAGGAUUUGAUCAAGGCGGAUGCUGAUUGAUUCCGCCACGCAGAGGAACCAAGGGACUUAACUGCGAGGGAAGUUGGGUGAAUCUCAUGUCUUGCCAAUUCUUGCAUUCCUCCAGUAAAUUUGGACAUUUUAGAGAGAAAUUUAUGUAACUUCAACUGGUUUCUUUAAAAGAAAAGACCUUGCCCCCAGCCAUCCUACCCUUGCAUCCCUCAUCCAGCAGGAGACCAUGUAGUCCCAGGCUCUGGUCUCCUGUGCUGCAGCAGGCUCUGCCCCGACAUGUUCCCUCCCCCCUGUCUCUAAGGGAGGUCUCCCAUAUGAGGGUUUGGAGUUAAGCAGACUCCAAAUAUCUUAUUGGCAUAUAUCCUUGUACCUGCUGUGACAAACAGGGCAGUGGGAUCUCUGUUCAUGUUCUGUGUUUUAAUGUUUGUGCUUUAUGUUUUAAUGUUAAUAUGAAAAUAAAGCAUUUGCUAUGUGUACCAA